Molecule: ribosomal RNA, 409 nt
Filed under: uncultured bacterium
Lineage: Bacteria
Description: bacterial SSU rRNA
Rfam family: Bacterial small subunit ribosomal RNA
Source: RNAcentral
GUGCCAGCAGCCGCGGUAAUACGGAGGGUGCGAGCGUUAAUCGGAAUUACUGGGCGUAAAGCGCACGCAGGCGGUUUGUUAAGCUAGAUGUGAAAGCCCCGGGCUCAACCUGGGAUGGUCAUUUAGAACUGGCAGACUAGAGUCUUGGAGAGGGGAGUGGAAUUCCAGGUGUAGCGGUGAAAUGCGUAGAUAUCUGGAGGAACAUCAGUGGCGAAGGCGACUCCCUGGCCAAAGACUGACGCUCAUGUGCGAAAGUGUGGGUAGCGAACAGGAUUAGAUACCCUGGUAGUCCACGCCGUAAACUAUGAUCACUCGAUGUUGGCGAUACACAGUCAGCGUCCAAGGGAAACCGAUAAGUGAUCCACCUGGGGAGUACGAUCGCAAGGUUGAAACUUAAAGGAAUUGGCGG